This 333-nucleotide unclassified non-coding RNA is filed under the name soil metagenome. Its description in RNAcentral is "partial contains 5.8S ribosomal RNA, internal transcribed spacer 2, and large subunit ribosomal RNA". The stretch from base 1 to 120 matches the Rfam family "5.8S ribosomal RNA", at positions 35 to 154 of the family's 154-position model. The record is from RNAcentral.
GAUGAAGAACGCAGCAAAAUGCGAUAAGUAAUGUGAAUUGCAGAAUUCAGUGAAUCAUCGAAUCUUUGAACGCACAUUGCGCUCGCCAGUAUUCUGGCGGGCAUGCCUGUUCGAGCGUCAUUUCAACCCUCAAGCUCAGCUUGGUGUUGGGACUCGCGGUAACCCGCGUUCCCCAAAUCGAUUGGCGGUCACGUCGAGCUUCCAUAGCGUAGUAAUCAUACACCUCGUUACUGGUAAUCGUCGCGGCCACGCCGUAAAACCCCAACUUCUGAAUGUUGACCUCGGAUCAGGUAGGAAUACCCGCUGAACUUAAGCAUAUCAAUAAGCGGAGGA